CCUACGGGAGGCAGCAGUGGGGAAUAUUGCACAAUGGGGGAAACCCUGAUGCAGCGACGCCGCGUGAGUGAAGAAGUAUUUCGGUAUGUAAAGCUCUAUCAGCAGGGAAGAAGAACGACGGUACCUUACUAAGAAUCCCCGGCAAAUAACGGGCCAGCAGCCGCGGUAAUACGUAUACGGAAAGCGUUAUCCGGAUUAACUGGGUGUAAAGGGAGCGUAGACGGCUGUGAAAGUCGGCAGGGAAAGCCAAGGGUUCAACCCUGGGACUGCUGUGGAGACUGUGAAGGUAGGGUGCUGGAGAGGUAAGUGGAAUUCCUGGGGUAGCGGUGAAAUGCGUAGAUAUUAGGAGGAUAACCAGGGGCGAGGGCGGCUUACGGGACAGUAACUGACGUUGAGGCUCGAAAGCGUGGGGAGCAAACAGGAUUAGAUACCCCAUAGUC
RNAcentral lists this ribosomal RNA (440 nucleotides) under uncultured bacterium. RNAcentral's name for it is "partial 16S ribosomal RNA". It matches the Rfam family "Bacterial small subunit ribosomal RNA", at positions 338 to 795 of the family's 1533-position model. The record is from RNAcentral.